AGUGAACGCUGGCGGUAGGCCUAACACAUGCAAGUCGAACGGCAGCACAGUAAGAGCUUGCUCUUACGGUUGGCGAGUGGCGGACGGGUGAGGCAUACAUCGGAAUCUACUUUUUCGUGGGGGAUAUCGUAGGGAAACUUACGCUAAUACCGCAUACGACCUACGGGUGAAAUCAGGGGAUCUUCGCACCUUGCGCGAUUGAAUGAGCCGAUGUCGGAUUAGCUAGUUGGUAGGGUAAAGGCCCACCAAGCCAACGAUCCGUAGCUGAUCUGAGAGGAUGAUCGGACACACUGGAACUGAGACACGGUCCAGACUCCUACGGGAGGCAGCAGUAGGGAAUCUUGCGCAAUGGGCGAAAGCCUGACGGAGCAACGCCGCGUGAGUGAUGAAGGUCUUCGGAUCGUAAAACUCUGUUAUUAGGGAAGAACAUAUGUGUAAGUAACUGUGCACAUCUUGACGGUACCUAAUCAGAAAGCAACGGCUAACUACGUG
Molecule: ribosomal RNA, 492 nt
Filed under: uncultured bacterium
Lineage: Bacteria
Description: partial 16S ribosomal RNA
Rfam family: Bacterial small subunit ribosomal RNA
Source: RNAcentral